This 529-nucleotide ribosomal RNA is filed under the name uncultured bacterium. Its description in RNAcentral is "bacterial SSU rRNA". It matches the Rfam family "Bacterial small subunit ribosomal RNA", at positions 777 to 1304 of the family's 1533-position model. The record is from RNAcentral.
AAUAGAUACCCGGGUAGUCCACGCCGUAAACGAUGAGUGCUAAGUGUUAGAGGGCUUCCACCCUUUAGUGCUGCAGCUAACGCAUUAAGCACUCCGCCUGGGGAGUACGGCCGCAAGGCUGAAACUCAAAGGAAUUGACGGGGGCCCGCACAAGCGGUGGAGCAUGUGGUUUAAUUCGAAGCAACGCGAAGAACCUUACCAGGUCUUGACAUCCUUCGCUACCUCUAGAGAUAGAGGGUUCCCCUUCGGGGGACGGAGUGACAGGUGGUGCAUGGUUGUCGUCAGCUCGUGUCGUGAGAUGUUGGGUUAAGUCCCGCAACGAGCGCAACCCUUGACCUUAGUUGCCAGCAUUCAGUUGGGCACUCUAAGGUGACUGCCGGUGACAAACCGGAGGAAGGUGGGGAUGACGUCAAAUCAUCAUGCCCUUUAUGACCUGGGCUACACACGUGCUACAAUGGAUGGUACAAAGGGUCGCGAAACCGCGAGGUGGAGCCAAUCCCAAAAACCGAUUCUCAGUUCGGAUUGCAGG